CCUACGGGAGGCAGCAGUGAGGAAUAUUGGUCAAUGGCCGUAAGGCUGAACCAGCCAAGUCGCGUGAAGGAAGAAGGAUCUAUGGUUUGUAAACUUCUUUUAUAGGGGAAUAAAGGUAUCCACGUGUGGAUAUUUGCAUGUACCCUAUGAAUAAGCAUCGGCUAACUCCGUGCCAGCAGCCGCGGUAAUACGGAGGAUGCGAGCGUUAUCCGGAUUUAUUGGGUUUAAAGGGUGCGUAGGUUGUUUUUUAAGUCAGCGGUGAAAGUCUGUGGCUCAACCAUAAAAUUGCCGUUGAAACUGGAAGACGUGAGUGUGUUUGAGGUAGGCGGAAUGCGUGGUGUAGCGGUGAAAUGCAUAGAUAUCACGCAGAACUCCGAUUGCGAAGGCAGCUUACUAAGCCAUAACUGACACUGAAGCACGAAAGCGUGGGGAUCAAACAGGAUUAGAUACCCCAGUAGGC
This 460-nucleotide ribosomal RNA is filed under the name uncultured bacterium. RNAcentral describes it as "partial 16S ribosomal RNA". It matches the Rfam family "Bacterial small subunit ribosomal RNA", at positions 338 to 795 of the family's 1533-position model. The record is from RNAcentral.